Molecule: small nuclear RNA, 288 nt
Filed under: Jaculus jaculus (lesser Egyptian jerboa)
Lineage: Eukaryota; Metazoa; Chordata; Mammalia; Rodentia; Dipodidae
Description: 7SK RNA (ENSJJAG00000007058.1)
Rfam family: 7SK RNA
About the family: 7SK was discovered as an abundant small nuclear RNA in the mid-70s but a possible function has only recently been suggested. Two independent studies have found that 7SK RNA binds the CDK9/cyclin T complex (known as elongation factor P-TEFb).
Source: RNAcentral
GGAUGUGAGGGCAAUCUGGCUGCGAUAUCUGCCACCACAUUGAUCGCCAGGGUUGAUUCAGCUGCGGUCCUCUUCCUGACCGCUCCAUGUGCGCCCCUCCCAAAGCUGCAUGCUCAGAAGAUAACGACGUUCCCCCGUAGCAGAUAACCUGUCUUCAUUCAGGGGUGUGCAGGUAGCUACACUCCCCUGCUAGGACCUCCAAACAAGCUCUCAAAUAAAUGAGUGAAAUAGAUUUUAAAAUGAAUCCUCUUUUCUUGUACCUAAAGAAAUGCUUGGAAGUAGGACAUG